This 958-nucleotide long non-coding RNA is filed under the name Naja naja (Indian cobra). Its description in RNAcentral is "lncRNA (ENSNNAG00000014128.1)". The record is from RNAcentral. Lineage: Eukaryota; Metazoa; Chordata; Lepidosauria; Squamata; Elapidae.
GCAAGCCACAACUCCACAGCUUGAAGUACCUUGCUUCACCUUCCGAGGAAGGGAUAUUAGGACUCAGGUUACACAGGUGAUCGUUAACAAAGGACUUGGACUUUUAAGGACACUUAAAGGGAAAACAAACUACCUGAGCGAAUAGACAUACCAGUUGACCAGGAGCCAGAGAUUCCCUUCCCAUCUGAACCAGAAAGUUCCAUCUUGCCACUUCCCGUUGUUGUGCUCCUCGGUAGUCUAGGAGGGUUUCUGCUCAUUUCCAACUUGUUUUUGCUUGGCUGCCUCAUUUCCAGAAAGAGAGCUCAGACUCCCAAAGGAGAUGGGAUUGAAGGACCAGCCAGGGGGAAAGUGAGAUUCGGGAACAGCUACACGGUGAGCAAAUGGCUGAAGGUUGGUGGGCAACCAGCACAGCUUGAGGGGUACAGUUCAGAGGGCAGUUCUACUAAGACAUCAGCCACUGUCUCUACAGCCACCACAGAUACUAGUGUUACAGGUCCCAACAUCUUGCUCCCUUGGAUGGGCUCUCAAGAGCAUCAUGAAUAUGAGGAAGUAGGAGGUCCUAGGAGAUUGGAGGACAUGGGACCCCUGUAUGAUGAAUGGAACCCCGACGAUGAACCAUGGAUCAAUGAAUAUGCAGUGAGUACCUUGAGGGGAAGGGGAAUUCUGAGAUAGUCCUGUUGUGUGGUAGUCUGUGGUUUUUGAUCAAGGGUACAGUAGGUUGCUUUAUCAAUGGAGUUUUGUUGAUGGAGACUUCAGUGGAAGUAUUUAAUCAGUGGAACAACUUGCCUCCAGAACUUGUGAAUGCUCCAACACUGGAAGUUUUUAAGGAGAGAUUGGACAACCGUUUGUCUGAAAUGGUAUAGGGUUGCCUGCCUGGGCAGGGGGUUGGUCUAGAAGACCUCCAAGGUUCCUUCCAACUCUUGUAUUCUAUUCUAUUCUAUUCUGUUCUGUUCUGUUC